RNAcentral lists this ribosomal RNA (1235 nucleotides) under Citrobacter koseri. RNAcentral's name for it is "partial 23S ribosomal RNA". It matches the Rfam family "Bacterial large subunit ribosomal RNA", at positions 1584 to 2798 of the family's 2925-position model. Lineage: Bacteria; Pseudomonadati; Pseudomonadota; Gammaproteobacteria; Enterobacterales; Enterobacteriaceae. The record is from RNAcentral.
GCUGAAGUGACAAAUGCCCUGCUUCCAGGAAAAGCCUCUAAGCAUCAGGUAACAUCAAAUCGUACCCCAAACCGACACAGGUGGUCAGGUAGAGAAUACCAAGGCGCUUGAGAGAACUCGGGUGAAGGAACUAGGCAAAAUGGUGCCGUAACUUCGGGAGAAGGCACGCUGAUAUGUAGGUGAAGUGGUUUACCCAUGGAGCUGAAAUCAGUCGAAGAUACCAGCUGGCUGCAACUGUUUAUUAAAAACACAGCACUGUGCAAACACGAAAGUGGACGUAUACGGUGUGACGCCUGCCCGGUGCCGGAAGGUUAAUUGAUGGGGUUAUCCCUCGGGAGAAGCUCUUGAUCGAAGCCCCGGUAAACGGCGGCCGUAACUAUAACGGUCCUAAGGUAGCGAAAUUCCUUGUCGGGUAAGUUCCGACCUGCACGAAUGGCGUAAUGAUGGCCAGGCUGUCUCCACCCGAGACUCAGUGAAAUUGAACUCGCUGUGAAGAUGCAGUGUACCCGCGGCAAGACGGAAAGACCCCGUGAACCUUUACUAUAGCUUGACACUGAACACUGGUCCUUGAUGUGUAGGAUAGGUGGGAGGCUUUGAAGUGUGGACGCCAGUCUGCAUGGAGCCGCCCUUGAAAUACCACCCUUUAAUGGCUGGUGUUCUAACGUGGGCCCGUAAUCCGGGUUGCGGACAGUGUCUGGUGGGUAGUUUGACUGGGGCGGUCUCCUCCUAAAGAGUAACGGAGGAGCACGAAGGUCAGCUAAUCCUGGUCGGACAUCAGGAGGUUAGUGCAAUGGCAUAAGCUGGCUUGACUGCGAGCGUGACGGCGCGAGCAGGUGCGAAAGCAGGUCAUAGUGAUCCGGUGGUUCUGAAUGGAAGGGCCAUCGCUCAACGGAUAAAAGGUACUCCGGGGAUAACAGGCUGAUACCGCCCAAGAGUUCAUAUCGACGGCGGUGUUUGGCACCUCGAUGUCGGCUCAUCACAUCCUGGGGCUGAAGUAGGUCCCAAGGGUAUGGCUGUUCGCCAUUUAAAGUGGUACGCGAGCUGGGUUUAGAACGUCGUGAGACAGUUCGGUCCCUAUCUGCCGUGGGCGCUGGAGAACUGAGGGGGGCUGCUCCUAGUACGAGAGGACCGGAGUGGACGCAUCACUGGUGUUCGGGUUGUCAUGCCAAUGGCACUGCCCGGUAGCUAAAUGCGGAAGAGAUAAGUGCUGAAAGCAUCUAAGCACGAAACUUGCC